RNAcentral lists this unclassified non-coding RNA (332 nucleotides) under soil metagenome. RNAcentral's name for it is "partial contains 5.8S ribosomal RNA, internal transcribed spacer 2, and large subunit ribosomal RNA". The stretch from base 1 to 120 matches the Rfam family "5.8S ribosomal RNA", at positions 35 to 154 of the family's 154-position model. The record is from RNAcentral.
GAUGAAGAACGUAGCAAAAUGCGAUAAGUAAUGUGAAUUGCAGAAUUCAGUGAAUCAUCGAAUCUUUGAACGCACAUUGCGCCCGCCAGUAUUCUGGCGGGCAUGCCUGUUCGAGCGUCAUUUCAACCCUCAAGCACAGCUUGGUGUUGGGACUCGCGUUAAUUCGCGUUCCCCAAAUUGAUUGGCGGUCACGUCGAGCUUCCAUAGCGUAGUAGUAAAACCCUCGUUACUGGUAAUCGUCGCGGCCACGCCGUUAAACCCCAACUUCUGAAUGUUGACCUCGGAUCAGGUAGGAAUACCCGCUGAACUUAAGCCUAUCAAUAAGCGGAGGA